UUUGAGAGAAGAUGUGACUUUGGUGAUAAAGAUGGACUUACAUUGAGUAUUAAAGUGGACUCGAAAAAUGAUUAGUAAAUUUGGGUUUAAUGUGAGGAUUACUCAUGAAGGGAGAGAUUUGUUAGAUUCAUGAGUAAAUGGUUGUGUCCUACAUUAAUUAGAGGGAUGGAGAAAGAACGGUUAAUAUGUAAAUAAGGAUCCAAAAUCUAAUAGUUUAAGUUUUUGGGUCAGAGUUGAAUUUCUGACUUACAUAUUGGGUUAUUUGAUGGAUUCUUUUGAGGUGUUUCUCCCUGUCAUAUUCUCAACAAGUAAUAACCAUUAGAUCAAACUGGGCCUUAUGGUUCGUGGUUUCCCUUCACUUGUAAUCUCCUUCGCAUGCUACAUCACCACCAACGUAAAACUCCACAAAAUUGAUUAUUUGCUGAAAAGUCACCGUUGGCGUUAACAUCGAAGCACAAGGUGGCUCUAUUCCGUUGCAACCUUCACUAUUGGGCUCAUGGUGGCUUUUCUCUUUCCGACUGUUGAUCUGUCCUUUCUUUCUCUCUUCCUAGGUUGCAGUUUAUCUUGAUUUCUCUUUCUCCAUUUAUGUCUUUCUCUGUCAUCGAAGAGUUAGCUAUCUACCGUGGAAGAGGUAGGUGUUCGCUGUGUGAGAAUGGGCAAUGGCUGCAGGCGAUAGAAAGCAAUUUUAGCAAGUCUUUUUAUGGAAGUUACUUUACACCUUGAGGUGUAAAAUAUUUUACGCAGAAAAAUAUUUUCAUCAACAAUAAUAAUUUAAUCAAACACCGGAGCUCAAGGAAGUUGUUUUCGGAAAAAAAAUUUUCAAUUGAAACAAAUGGACCCUUAAACUAAGACUAAUUUUUACCUCAUGAAAAUAUUUAAUUGAAAACAUAUAAAAAUAACAUACAAAAUUAUUUUGAAUGACAAUUGGCAUCGAACUAACACAUUAGUGACUUCAUGAAAGCCCAUUUCAACUAGAGGUGAUAAUGGGGCGAGGCCCGUCCCUGCCCAUCCGUAAUCCUGCGCUCUAAAGUCCUCUCCCCGCUCCUGAUAUCAUAACCAUAAGGAAUUUUUGUUACCGGUAAGCAAAUAAAUAAAUAAAUAAAUAAAGGACCAAUGGCGAAAUCCAGGCUUAAGAGACACCAAAAAGAAAAUAAAAUGGGGGAGAAGGUUGUGAAAGCGGGCGACAUAUUUUCGUCAAUGUCAGAGCUCCUAAUUCUAGUUAAGUCAUAGCAUUAGCUUUUCUUUAACAGUGAAGUGUAUCCGUAUUUCCAGGCCAUUAGAAUAUCGACGACGAGGGAAUAUAUAAAAAAAAAAGGGGGGGAAAUAAUAUGCAAAUAUGGAAAGGAGCCCGGUUCACGUAUACAUCUCCGAUGGCGCGAUGGCUCCUCUCUCGUCCCUCUUCCACUAAAUUGUUCGUUGGAGGUCUCUUUCUCUCUUUGUUGGAUGCUGCUUUUAAUCUCCGAUUAUUAUACGUGGCUUCGUGCAUAUCUAAUUAGUGCUCUAUUGGGUAGCAUUCCAUAUGUUUGAGAAAAUGUUCCAAUGACUUCUUCACGUGAUGCUGCUAGCAUGGUUGCACUAUGUACAAGGUUACUCAAGUAUUGCAGCACUAACCUGAGAAGAUGAAGGGAUAUGGCAUCUAUCUACCUGUGGAGAUAAAUAGAGUCCGCACUAACGAAAUGGCUUCAACAAAAAUAUUGCCUUUUUCGGGGAAAUGAUGAACUGUUUUGUCAAAUGCUAUUUUAAUGCAGAAUGUUAGAAUCUAGGUGAAGUUACAGUAGUAUUAGAUCAUUUAUCAUCCUUGUACAAUUUCCAAAAUGAAAUCUUAAUGCGACUAUUUCAAAGGAAAAUUUUUGGAUCCUAAUUCCUUUCUGAAACUAUUUGCGGGGCCAGACAUUCUCAUUUUUUACAUGUGAUUCUUUUCUCCCUCACAAACGUCCAUACAGUCAUAGCUGAUGAGCGAACAUUUGGAAAACUCUACAAUACGAUUUUGGUGAUUGACUUUAAGCUAUGAUCAUUGGUCGUUGAAUUAGGUCGGCAUCACACUAGUGAAUAAUCCUUGAUGAUAGAUAGUGACAUAACCUUUGAUAAAUCAUAUUGAUUGAAACAUAUGAUUCAAAUGGUUAUUAGUGGAGUCUUUUGUUAUUCUUUCGCUUCUUCCUCUGUGUCAUUUUGUAUUUUGGUUUGCGGCCAUGAGGAGGAUACAUACUCCCUUUCCAGACAAUGUAUAGUUGAAUACUUUGCAUUUGGUUGCAGGGCUGUCUUACGACACCAAUGAAACAGUUCUGAAGGAUGCUUUUGAGAUGCAUGGAGAAAUUAUUGAAGGCAAUAUGCUGUAUCCUUGAUUGUAGUCUUUUCUUGUCCUUCACUUUAUUUAGUCUAAGAGUUGAUUCCAUGUGCUUGACAGUGAAGGUAAUAUGUGAUCAUAAGAGUGGAAAGUCAAAAGGAUAUGGAUUUGUGCAUUUCACUACAGAGAUUGCAGCGAGCAACGCCUUGAAGGAAAUGAAUGACAAGGUAUGUUUUUUUGUAGUAUUGCAUAGUUCUGUGUGUGAGCUUGCACCUUUCUUUCAGUUCAAGUUUAGUCUCCUAAUGCUCCUUUUUCAGAUAUUGGAUGGUAGAAAUAUCCGUGUUCAGUGUGUUCACAAAAGAUGAAGGCAAAGGAUUCGGUCUAUGGUGAAUCAUUUGUUGAUUUAAAUAUUGUCUGCUUUCUCAGCAAUGAGAAGAAGAAUUCGUCACUGGCAUCUCUCUUUGUAUGCUUGCAUGGUGGUGGCCUAUAACGACAAUCAUCUAAAUUUGAGUAUUACUAGAGAUUUUGUUCUAGCUUGUGACAAGUACAUGUGAUAAUCUUGUGCCAAUUUUUCCGUUGAGACAAUUUUCUGGAAAAUUUCAUUGAACUAGAGUGUAUGGGGAACUUAUUCCUACCCAAGAAACAAAUGUACAUACUGUGAGAUCAUAACCUUUUCUGGCAUUCACCAGUCAGGUCUGUUACUGAGAAAAGAUGUUAUCCACUAAGAGAGAUUUGAGAAGUGAAUUCAUUAUUUGAUUUCUGUAUGCUUUGUUGUUGAAUCGUGAAUACGAUCAGGAUAGUUCUCCUGUCUUGGCUUUUGAGUGGAUAAGAUAAAAGAUUCCAGUUCUCUGUAUGUUUAACUUGGUAUAUGGUGAUUCUCCUCGGUUGCAUCCGGUGUUUUUUUUUGGGAAAAGGGUGGGGGAUGGUGGGCGGGUUUUAUUCUCAGUGUUAUAAUACUUUAAAACUCAAAUAUUUUCCCGGCUAAUCUUUUUGGAGCCUCGUCAAAUUACACAAUGCUACGUCUUCUGGUAUCCCAGUUCUGCUCUGACUUGUCACCUUCGGUGAACUUGUUCAGGUCAAGUCCGUGCGUUUGUCCUGAUGCUCUUCGGCCUUGUUUACUCCAUGGUACAAUUUCAUGUUAAGCCACAUGUGAAUUCUUCACUUAAUUUUGUAAUGGCUUGUUCGCAUGUGUUAAUUCUCGAGCUGAUCCAGAAUAUUGAGAACACUUGGGUACACCCAAUGUUGGUACCACUGUAGGACCUGCAAGAAUUUAACGCACACGGUACAAGCCUUUCACAAACCAAUUAUUUUGGAUUGGUACAACCGCACAAGUAAUGUAUGCACAUGUCAAUGUUGAUUAGAUUCUGUCCUCAGGCUGUUAGAAGGAGGCCAAAACUUGGAUAGACUUCAAUGAUCCAAUGAUUCUGAUUCUGUUAUACCAUUUGUUAAGAUGACGCGACACGAUUUGGAUCAUUGAUUCUUUAAAAGUUGGGUUUGCCCAAGUGUGAGUUUUAAAAGGACAAAAAAUGUGUGGGCAAAAAUAAAAAGAAAAGAAAAAAAAUGUCUCAAUGAAAAUGUAUUCUGAUUAAAGAAAAAAGCUAUUGAAAGCGAAUAGGUAUCGCCGAUGGCGAGGCAUGAACAUUUUCAAAGUUGCCGGGAGGAGUUAACUAUACUUCCUGGUCCUUGAGAAGAAGCAGGGGAGUAACUUCAAAAUUCAAAUAUGGGUUGCAUGCCGCAGCAGAAAUGGAGAAUUUCGGGCUUGGAGAUGGGCUUUAAUCAUGUUGGAUCUGAAUCAGACUUUUCAGCUGUCAGUCGACAUCGAACUCAAAAAAUGCUAGCCCAACCUAGACCCACUUCAAUUCGAUUCUUAAGAAACCAUUUCCUCCAAAGGAGUCCCGGGUGGAACCCAACUGCUCAAGAAAAGUCGGCCUGCAUUGGGAUCUUCCAUGUACAGUACAGUACCUGCUGAGAGACUUGACUUCUUGAAUUUUUAUCUUCUUCCCUUUUUGAGGGGUUACAUAUUUCUUGAAUCCAUCGGUAUGAAAGCUUCGGGCCUUGGCCCUUAAAGAUAACCAAUCGUGGCAAAGUUCACCAUCCGAGUGUAGCAACACGCAAUGAAACCUCACCCAGGACGAGAAUUAUCUCGGGUCUAAGUCGAGUAUACGUACGCGUUCGGAAAUUCUUCAUUGAACGUUCCAAGCUAGAAAUGGACUAAGGUAAAUGCGCAGACAAAAGUCUAUUCGGAACUCCCUUCAUUUCAAGCCCUUGUCAGCAGCAGACCAUGUUUAAGCUUUAAACACUCAGAAGCUCGAGUAAGGCCAGAGAGGCAUUUUCCUCCGCCAACUCAAGUUUUUGGACAAAGAUGUUGAUAGGUCAAUUUAUUCAUAAGCUGUAAGAAACUAAACAUGACAAGCACUUCAAAAUAAUUUUGAAAGUUUCUGCUUCAAGGGCAAGUGAUCGACCAAAGUAACCUGCAAAUCCAACUUCCCCCUUCCCUUGAAACAGCAGGGAUUUCCCACUUGUGAACCUAAAUCUACUCCCUUCUAAGGUAAAAGAAACUAACGUCUGCUCUUCUGGAGAUUAUAAGGUAAUCCAACCAGAAUCAAACAUUAAAACUCUUGCAGAAAAGUAAACAUUAAGUACCUGAACAAGAUGGUAACAAAUACGGUCAUAGAUCACAAACCUCGCAACAAGCAAAACAUAAGGAAAACCUAACAAGUUUAUGCAUCUUAAACAUCAUUAGUGUGCAGUGCGCAUUAUUCCGUGCAAAUAGCCCCCAGUCAUGAUAAGGGACACAAGCGAGACAAUACCAGCUGGAAAAAUCUUUCCUGAUCUUUUAAAGCGAGAACCCAUCACUCCCAAGAGAGCAGCAGACAACCCAAAACCAAGGGAUGAAGCAAAAACAGGUUUUGUAGGAAGAGCUGUGUAGACAUAAUACAGUAGCGAGGCUGCUAGUCCACCAGAAAUCAAUGACUUCUGACUGCCACUUUUCAAAUAGCCCAUGAGUCCACCUGCUCCUACCAAGAAAGCAUAGACUAAUGUUAACUUUUGAGACAUGGAAAGUGCAGUCUUCUUGCUGCUCCCAAGGUUUUCAUCCUUGCUUUCACCUGAAUCCCCUUCACUCUCAUUGCUAUCGUUACUAUCACCCCCAUUAUUGCCUCCACCACCACCUCCUCCUUUACCACUUGCAUUGCCAAAGUCAUUUCCACCCCCUCCAGUGUCUGGUAGCACAUCAACCCCUUCCCCAGCUGAAUCGACUGUGAAAGUAGUAGGCAUUUUAGAAUCUGAGAUGACAGUUGCUCUAAUCCCCCCAAAAACGUGUUUUUUUGGUACACACUUAAUUGGAGAUAACACUAACUUCGUUGCUAAGAAAUGCCCAGAGGAAACUGCUAAUGUUGAUGCUAGAUUCUGUGCAGCGGGAUUCCAUGCUCGCAGAGAAUGUUGGAGCUGACACUUAGGCAGUAGAAGUAAAGAGGAUUGAGAAAAAGUCAAGAGUUCUCCCAUUGCCAUUGACAUUUGGAGCUUUUGCCUGCUUAUACAGAUCCGUAGAAGUAAUGCACGCGAGAACUUAAGUCUCAGGAUGUCUGAUUUUCAGAUCUUGUGGUCUUUGCAACUUCAACAAAAAUCAGUCUGCCAUUCACUAUCUGCAAUUACAUAUCAAAAUUACAUACUUCCUUAGCUAUCCACCACCCCCUGAUCAUUCUAUGGUAACCAACAAAAAUGCAGUUGGAUUAGUAGAAUCUACUUGUGUAUUAGCUAUAAAACUUAUCCAUGAGUAUCUCUGAGAAUUAUCUAACUAAUGAAAAAGUCAACUGCUGCUUUAAAUAAUCAUCACUGGUUAAACUUCUUAUUUGACAUGCACUCAACUCAUAAAAUUAUGCUUCUAGCUUUAACUUGUGAAAGGCAUGAGUAGUUUACUCAUGGAAACGAAUAGCCAAAAAAAUCAUGACUUUUAGUCAUCUAUUUUGAUUGCAAUAAAAAGAAUUUGUUUUUGCUGAAGACAAAUUUAAAAUAGAUUAAGAUAACAUGAUGAGGAUAUGACAGGUAACAAUGGAAAUGUCACAUAAAACUUGGGAGAAUUCAACCAAAUCAUAAGUCCCAUGCUUCUCUCUGAUGAUUUUCAGUUCUUAAGGACAAUUAAUGCAUGAUGCAUCGGGAGCAUCAAAUCAUGUUUAGACACAAGGAUGCACACUAAUUGGUGGCGUUGCUGACCUACACAUUCUUUAACAGAGUCUAUCCAAUCCAUACAGCUCUGUCCACUUGUUUACAUCCCAAGAGUACAUUCAGCAAAGUGUUCGAGACUCCAAGUUUACAUUUUGACCCUUAAACUUCAUAAAAAUCCAAAAGAAUUGCUCUUUCUUCACCUCUUACAUUGUGCCUAACAGGAAAGCUUUAAACUUUAUACCACUAAGAAAGACCUCGAUUAAUAAUAAAAAGAAAACAGAAAUCCUAAUGAAUCAAGUGAAAGAAAUAAUCAUUUUAAUCACAGAAAUUAACAGAAGCAUUUCUGUAAUGAAACGCAUGAAUUGGCACAGAUAAGUAUAGCUAUGAUAAAAAGAAAAUAUACCCUGCCAUUCAUUGCCUUUAACGCAUUUUGAGCAUCAGUUUCUGAAUCAAACUGGACAAAUCCAAACCCUUUAGUCCUUCGCGUUAUUGGGUCAAUAACAAGCCUAGCUGCAUACAUCAGUUACACAGUAUCAACCCGAAACAAUUAUUGACUCAUAAUGGGAACUGCAUAGGAUUUUUAUAUAAAAAUAUCAAUCCUUUACCAAAAUUGAAAAAACUUUCAAAACACUUGUUCAGGUAAAAAAAAAAAAAGCAAUUAAUAAUCCCUCAAAAAAAACGCGAUAUAGCAGAAAAAUCACCAAUCUUUUUCAGUAAGCUACUAAAAGCUAUCCAAAUCACCUUGCGUAACCAGACCGAAUGGUGAAAACAGACUCUUCAAUUCUUCAGCAGUCGUGUAAAAUGAUAAUCCUACCAAAAAACCAACAAAAUCAGGAAUACAUCGAAAAACCAGACUAUACCAUACACAUCUAGCAACAGACGACUCUUAACUCUACCAGAAACUUCCGUACAAAGAGCAUAAUGAGUAUAAGCAAAGAAACCCAGAUUCGCCAGUGUUGUUGAAAUAUAGAGACAGAGAGAGCAUAUCACUUACUGCUUACAAAUAGUUCUAGACCUCUUCUGGCCAUCUGGGGUUCUAGAGAGUGGAGCAAUCGGUAAUAAAAGAGCGUGCAACUUUUCCAAAUUACCAGUUAGUCCUGAAGUUUGUUCGGUGAACCAUUAUAUUAUCAGAAUUUCCUUUUAGGCGCACUAUAAGCUCUCUCUACCUCUUGUUUUUUGAGGUUGAUUUUUGGAUUUCACCAAUUACGUUAGUACUGAAUAGCCUAUUAUUAAUGUACAUGGUAUAUGCUUCUUUAUUUUGUUACAAAAUAGCUAAUAUUUGAUUUGCAUUGUAAAAAGAAAGAAACUAAAUUCACAAUGUUUUUUUAAAAUCUACUCCCCAUAUUUUAUUGAGAAUAUACUUUUUUAUAGUAAAUAUUUUUAAAUGUUUUUCUCUGUAUGUAAGAAAAUGUUACAAAGAAAUUAUGUGCGUAUUGAUUAAAUUGUUUUUUGCUUCAUGUACUCUUAAACUUGACUUUUGCUCUUAAGUUGUUUAAAUAAGAAAUUGUCUGUGUAUGCAGUUGGCAUUUAAUCAAAUAUUAUGAAAGUUAUUUUCCUUAGCAUAGUUUUUUUUGUCUAACAAUUCCACAUUUAUUUGAGAAGGUACUUAUUUCUAUUUCAUUACCUUCUACGUGGGGAGUUUUUGUAAAUUUUUAUAGCAAAACUAAAUUGUAGUAGCAUAUGAGAUAGGUGGUUGGAAAAUUCAAAAAGCUAAUAAAGCUUUUUAUAGAAACGGAGUGAUUGAAGUGUGGUUUCCUUACUUAAUUUAUUUUUUCAAUUUUAUUUAUAAUGAGUGAUGUUAAAUCUUAAUUAAUAGACAAAUGACUGCUUAAUUUUGUUAAUCCACUAUUGUUACUAAAAAAAUCUUCAACACUAAAUUGCCUACAACUUUUCCCUUUUAAGAUUGCGUCACAAUUUCACAACUAGCUAAGGGAUGAAUUUGUAGAUGAAACUACUUAUAAUUUAACAAACUUGAGCAACAAAAAAGACGAGGAGGGUUGAGGGGGACAAUUAAAAUUCGAGAGGCCUCCCUGAGUAGUGGUAUUUAGUGGAGGGGGUUUUCUGCAAUUCACAAAACAUACUACUCGUCACUGGAGAGCCUUUCUGGAACCUAAAAAUUACUAUCAAAAUUACAUCAUCGACGCUGUAACAAACAAAAUACAGAAAAGAAAUGGCGUGGAGGAGUAAUCUCUCAAAGAAUCUCAAGGAGCUUCGAAUCCUCUUCUCCCCAUCGGCUCCAGCCAGCUCUUCAACAAGGUACCACUGUUAGGCUUCCUUCUCGUACAAUAUAUUUUGUUUAGUAUUUCCGUCGGCUUAAGUUUCCUUUCCCCCUUUUCCCUCUCAAUAAUGGUUUCGGAUGCAUCAUUCACAGAGUAUUCAUUGAAAGGAAUUACAAGGAUCUUAAGAAACUCAAUCCCAAACUUCCGAUUUUGAUCCGGGAGGCCGAUAAUACAGAGCCUCAGCUUUGGGCUAGAUUUGGUAUGUCUUUUUACCCCCUUCAAAUUUCUAUUUAUGUCUCCCAACUUUAGAUUUCUGUGGAAUGCGAUGAUAAGUUUGAGCUUUUUUUAAAAAAUGAUAAAUUUAGAUAUAACAAAAAACGUCAUAGGGGAAUAGUAGCCCGUUUUCGUCACUAUGUUGAUGUAGAAGUGGAGAAUCUAGGAAGCUCAACUUGUCCUGCAAUUGAUCUUGGCAUUCUAAAGAUUCCGACUUUUGAGAGAGUUCAGAUUUUCGUUUGCUCCGUGAAUAAAAGAGGUAGUUGACCUAAUGGCAUUUGUGACACGUUUCCCAAAUUUUUGGGAUUGUUAGGAGAAAUCAACUUGGACGUUUUGGAUGGUUAGUGCAUGCAAUUUGGUUUAAAGUGUUUGAUACAACAAUUAGGAAGACUAGUUUAUUAUGAAAUAGUUGUAACCUACUUUAAUUCCUCUUGCGUUGCGUAUCUUUGUCUUGUUUGUAAUUUGGUCACAUCUUAUUUGUGCUUUACUAUUGCUUAUGGAUCUUUUUGUGUAUGACUAGAUUUUGGAGUUGAAAGAGGAAUACGUUUGGAUAGUAUGACAGAGGAUCAGAUCUCAAAGGCACUAGAGGAUCUUGCUAAAGUUGGGGCAGCUCUCAAAUCUUGAUGUAGGUGUCUAUGGUCCUUUAUUUUUAAUAAAGCAAUGGUUGCUGGAAAAUGCCAUAUCAUGUUCUCCAUUUGUUCUAAGCAACUUGAUUUUCUCUUUUUAAUGAAAUUGAGACGAGUUUUUUCCCCCUUGCUGAAACUAAGAAAUUGGGAAUGGGUUAUUAAAAGUUUAUGCUAUUCUGCAUGAAUUUCAAACUGCCUAGUUUGUUUGGAUUGUCUGUACUGUUUGGCGGAUAUGAAUGCCAUAUCCUGCAAGCAUACUAAUUAGUGUUAAUAGUUUUAUUAAACUGAUAUAUCUGGUCAGCUAUUCAAUGUUGAUCUUCUUUUGAUCUGGGGAAGGGGGAAUGGUGGGGAGCUGCAACUGUGCUCCCAUGAGAAGGGAUUCUGGCUGCAUUUUCUUUAGCCCUGCAUUUUAGAAAUUUGAACCAGUUCUGCUUAAACUUUAUCAGGGUAACUCUAUGUGGUACACCUUCGCAUAUGGGAUUGUUGAUCCUAUGAGGAAGUUGAGGUUGCAAAGUCCCAGAGUUAUGACUUUAUGGUUCUAGGAUUCCUUUCUGAAAAGCAUGACUCUCUUUUCUAUAUAUCUGGACAUCCUUUUAUUUAUUUAUUUAUUUUUGGGGGGGGGUGUGUGGGUUGGUGGGGGAGGGAGAAGAAGGCGGGUGGUGCUGGAACUGUACUCCCAUGUGAAAAAGAUUCUAGCUUGUGUUUUCUUAUUCCCGAAUUAUGGAUAUUUGACCCAGUUCUGCUUAAAACUUAUGUUGGUAAUCUAUAUAUAAUACAAUUUGGCAUUUGGAAUGGUUGAUCCUGUGGGGAAAUUGAGAUCAUGAAGUCCUUGAAGUAUGACUUUAUGAUUCUAGGAUUCCUUUCUGAAAUGUAUGGCUCUCUCAAUCACUUUCAUUUUUAUUUUGUCUGGGUUAGUAUGUCCUUUUAAGACUUCUGUUCUACUGUUACAUGUAGGUCCAAUGGACAUUUAAGAUGAGAUUGUACUUAGUGCUCUAGUGGCUAGGUGAGAAAACCAUGUAGUCUGGUUUGUCUAAUAGGUUAUUGCAACAGAUUUUUGGUUGUCAUAAUACUAAAGGUAGGAGGCAAAAACUGGAGAUGCUGGCUUAUCUGCCUGCUAGGUAGUAGCUAUAACCUAAAUGAAUCCUUCUUGGAUGUCUCAGCUUAUAGCAUCAUUGGGAUAAAGACUUUGGGAUGCUCACAUGAAAUAAAAUUUUGCCAAUUAGGUAUUGGUGCUGGAGAAGCUUUUUAGGUACUUUGUUGGGAAUGGUCCUUUUCAGAAUAGGAUGCAAGAAAGAAGUUGAAUAGAGUUCUGCAGCUCUUUUUUUUCCCUGGAAUAGCAGUUGGCUUUGCGCCUAGGGCCAGCAUUUGGUUUUAGCUUUAUUGCCUAGAGACAGAGCUAAGUUAUGAUUGUACCAUUACGCAAACACAACCAUGCACACACAUACACUGGAAGAGGAUUAUUUAUUCCAAUGUUGUUGUGACUUCUCAUGCAUCAUUCUGUAAUUGAAAAACCACUGAGAAAAAAAUCUCCCCUCAAUUUCUCUUCAACAACUUUGACUUAGAAAGAUAGCCUCCUUCAAUUUGUAUAGUUUGUCUCUGGAGAAGCUGUGUAGUUUGGGUUCCAAUCUUUUUUGGUAAUUGGUUUUGGUCUCAAGAUCAUUUGAUAGUUGGUCACAAAAUCUACAUUGAGUGGCCGGUUCACAAGGUAUAAAAGGAUAGUCCUCGGAUAUAUUACUGCACAUUCAGAGAACAGCCCAAAACAAGGACCUGCAUGCCCUGAAUGUUGAAAGUAGGUUUGUGGUAAAAGAAAUUUAGCAAUAGCAAUCUUGAUUUGAAUGAGAGAUGAUAUACAUGAGUUCUGCCUGUUUCAGACUUGGCCAAAAAUUUGCCUUUGGCUGCACUUUGUUAAAAUUAUGGAUCAUUGGUCUUACUUCUUAAACAUCUAUGGCAGACACUUUUUGAUGUCUGCAAGCACAAAAAGUUGAUGAAAACAAUCAGCAAAUGAGAAAGGCACCGAAUAAGGGGAAUCAAAGGGAGUAAUGCGUGAUGCAGUUAAGUGAAUGUGAAUUAUCAUUUUCAUUGCUAUUAGGUGCUUCCAAAAUCUUCGUACAACGUUCCACUGUUGUUCCUUUGGUCGAUCUGCGGCUCUUUCUGCAUGUUGUACAGCUUGUGCCUGCUCCCUUCCCCCAAAAUUCUACGUGUUCAUGCAUUUCACGAUUGCGGUGCUAUAGAUCAGCGAUUUCUAGUUGUUCUGCGCCUAAGUAGCAUACUGAAUUUUAGCUUGUUAAUAUCAUGGAUGAAACUGGUAAGAAUUUUUACUAGCCAUUGCAUUGAUCAGGAGGCAUGAUCCAUGAUUAUAAUCGUUAAUUAGGAAUGAUCCUUGGUGAACAACUUGGAGUUGGCGUGCUUGGGCUGAGACAUGAAGCUGUGAAUAGGUUAGAAGGCCCGAUACACGAUUUAUGCUUGCGUAACUAGCAUUCCAUCUUUUUGGCUAUUCCAUUUUCCUGUUUCUUUCAUCGUUUUAGCGACAGUCAAACGUGGUAAAUUAGCAAAUUCCCGCUUCUGAACACGAGGAGUCAAGUAUCGAAAUACCCACAGAGAUUGGGCAAAAUGUGGAAACAAAAAUUUUUUAAAAAAAAAAACAUUAUCCAUCUACUACUUCCUUUAUGAACAUUUUUCUUUUUGGGGUUUCAACUAAAAACUUCAAACUCUACAAGGAGGAAGGUAAAAGGGAAGGGUUUGAAAGUUGAGCCAUGAAUAUUAUGAUUAAUUGGAUAAUGUUCUCACCAAUUAAGUUGGAUUUUGGAAAAAAAAAAAAAAAUUUGAUAGUAAUCCUAAAAGUAUCAUCAAUUGUGCACUCCAACGUUCCGAUUCAAGAAAUUGUAUUAUAUUUAAAGAACCUCUUGUGAAACAAAUUGGUGUACGUAUUAUAUAUCUAUUGUAGUACCAUCUAAAGGAGGUCUGUUGAUAACGGGGAUGGAAUGGGAUUGCCUUAAUGGAAUUUUUUUUUUAAUUGGGUUCUAGCUUUGGCCCUAACUUUGUAAUUCAUGGAUUGCCCUUAAUUGGGCGCUGACUUUGUGCUGGAAAGAUUUUAAUUGGUGUUACGCUCAAAGGGAUUUAAUUGGACAAGACAUUUAAUUUGAAGAAUUAAAUUAGGCUAAAAGAACAUUGAGGAAGGAAAUUGACAUUAUUGAAAUAGUUCAAGAACUGAGAUGGAAAAAGGGGGGAAAAAAGGCGCAACGGAUCUUCUGUGUCACACCCUGUUUCACAUCCUAUCCCACUUCUUCUAAUCUUAUCAAGUGUCCCUUGAUAAACCAAACUCUGAAACAACCCAACUCAGAUUAUGCUAAGUUAAUUAAUCGAUUAACCGGGCAGAGAAACUUAAUUUCUAUAACCAAAACUGAUUAAAAUAAAAACUCUCUCACAAAAUCACGAUUUAUCAAGGAAAAAAAACCCUAAAACGCUAACAAGCUUUGUCCUCUCGUCAUCAUCUCCACCAUACCCUUUCAUUAUCUCCCAAAAAUCACUCACAAUUCACCCCUUCUCAAAAGCGUCUUCCUCCUUUCAACAAUGUCCAUUUGAAAGCCCGUUUCGGGUGAAUUGUGACAAGAGCUUGUUUCGGAAAAUUUGGUGCCCCGACCUGUUCAUGGGUAUCACUCAUCCUUAAAAAUUCAUUAAUUUCACUUAUCUGUUUUUCUAUAGGGAACAGCCAAAGGAAGGAGGAAGAUACGCCAAAGGUAAUGGACAUUGAUUUGGUGUCCUGGAUAAUUGAGGAAAAAUAUAAUCUUUUGGAAGGGUGAUACCACAUGGUAAUAGAAUUAUCACAGACUCAGUCGUCAAAUUGCUUGCUAACUAUGGCACUGAGAGUGUACUCUUUCUUCUGUUAUGCAUGACUUUGGGAUUUGCAUUUCAUGCUUCCAGUACCAUAAGUUUUUGGAGAUCUAGGAUUCCAUUUUAGUUUUUUAGUUGACCAGGACAUUUUGUCCUGUGAUGCAUGGAUAUUUAAUAGCCCUGUUUGGCACUUGAGUUUUUUGCCAAGUUUGUUUAUUACAAGUUUUUUAAAAACUUUAGCUACAGUAAUCUCAAAAAAUUUCUCAAAAUUUUUAAACUAAACACUUCAAAAUAUUUAAAAAUUUACACACUUCAAAAAAAAAUUUAAAAACUUCUACAGUAAGUUACAGUAAAGUUUUAGACAAACAUUCAAAAAACUCACUUGCCAAACGGGGAUCGAGAAGAUCUAGUACUACAUCCCAAACUAUCAAAACAACAGUACCAAAAAUUAAAGUUCAUAAAACAUUUUAUUAACAGCUAAACAUGACCUAAUAACUCCUAAAUUCAAAACCAUAACCCAAUAAUUAUCGAAAAUUGAAAUUUAACGGAGAAUGUGUCUCCUUUAUAACUUUUCUCUAAAUAUAAACUCUCAUCUUUCUCUCUAACUUUUCAUUCCCUAGCAAGUAAAGAAAACAUCUUUCUCCUGUAGGAGGGAGAUCAAAGUAUACUAUCGGUGAGAGUUUUCUUCUCUUCUAGUGCUUCCUAACGAGAGUUUUCUCCUCUUCUAGAGAUUUCUAGGAAGAGUUUUUGUAAUUUUUAUAUUUCUUUUAUUAGAUCUAUAUAUUUUCAAAUUUAGUUGUCAAAUUUGCAAGUCUUUAGAUCUAUCUCAUCAAAUCUCACUUUAACAUUGGGUUUGAAUCAAUUUAUUAGGGCUAUAAGUAUUUUAUAUUUCAGAUCUGUAGUACUUAGUAUUUGUUCUUCAGAUAUGCUUAUAUUUGUAUAUGAUUAUGGUAAUUUCUGCCAUUAUAUUUGUGUAUGAUUAAUGUAAUUUUUAUCAUUAAUGCAAAUUUAAUGAAUGACAGAUGUUUUAUAAAAAAAAAUUUCAAAACCCUACCCCUAAAAUCAAAAGACAAACUUUCCAUUUCUAAAACUAAAAAUUAAGAUAAAUACGGGCAAAUGUAUGAUAUAAUCCUAGAUAUAUGAAUAGGAAUUGCAUUUCGUUUUCUUAUACAAUCCACCAUUUUGCUUGAUAGAUUACUUGUUCACUAAUUGUAAAACGUCCCAAGUUCCUCUCCUUUCUUUUGUUCAGGCCAUUUUCCCAAAUAGGUCUGCAGCUUCUACAGCUUGUAUAGGGCUUGGUAACAAUGACGGGUUCAUGCAAAAUGAUUGAAAAAUAAAAACUAGUUUUACGCUCAAAAACAUUUUUUCUUUUGAGGGCUCCUAGUUGGGAUCUACAAUACCAUUAUUCAAUGUCAAAUUCAGUGUCAGUCUCACUCAAAUUCAGUAUCAGUCUCACUUAUCACGUGGAAUAAUGGAAACUUGAGUUAAAUCAAACCAAUUCGACUUAUUAAAAAAAUUAAAGAACAUGUGGCAAUCUAAAUAAAUAGAACACUUGGACAUAACUAUAGAAAUAGCAUGCAAUUGCCACUAAAAACUAGAAUAGCAUUAUUUGAAUAAAUGAGAAUGGUCUUUGCACAUUUCAAACUUGAUUCAAGUGUUAUUCAUAUUAUUUUAUGCUUUUAAUACCAAAAUUAAGAAUUUUUAAUAUUUUGAAAAUGCGGGUUCAUAUGUCAGAACAUUUUGAGAGAGCGGAGGCAUUAAGUCACCCCCCAAAAAACGGAUGAAUAAAGAGGUGGAACAUAAUGGUUGACUAAUGUCCCAUCUUAGAUGUCACUCGCUUGAAGUAAUGACAGUCUCCACAUUGAUCCAAUUGGCAUAUUAGAGUUAGGAAACUGAUUCAUUGAAAAUAACAUUCGGUAAGCUGUCAACAAGGGCUUGAGCACGCAAUUUCUACAUUGCAGAUGCAUACUCCAUUCAUUAUCACAGCCCUGCCUAAAUGGCUAAAUCUCCAUACUAGUUUCUCUGUUUCUCGUUUCUAUUCAUGCCAUUUCCAGAAAUAAUUCUGCUUCCUCUCCUGCUCAUUUCCUCGUUCAGGCAUUAACGGAUCAUCCGUGGAGGUUCCUCCAGCAUUCGAGUCCUUAUAAUCAGGAUCCUUGCUUGCAUGUUAGUGGAAUGCGAAAUUAAUUCAUUUAAGUUUCUAAACGAGGUGCCAUUUUCUUCAUUCAGAUGCCCUGCACGCAAUUUGAAACCUUAGGCUUAUCUCACGUUAGGUAGUUAAUGGAAUGGCACCAGAAGAUAUGACUUGAAUCAGUGAAUAAGAACUCUGAACAUUUCACUCUCGAUCAAUUAAAGUGUUUCAUAUUCUUUUAUACAUUUCGAAUGCGCUGGCUUAUGCUCUGAGUUCAAACUGAGAACAUGAACCUGUUGCAAGCAGAGACAUUCAUUCACCCAACAAACCUUACACCCGCAGGACUACUCCCAACAAAGGUAAAUUAAUACUGAGUAAAUGUAUUCUAAUUCUAAACAAAGAAAAAAAAAAGGGGGGGUGUGGGGAAAAAUUCCAGGAUUUCAGUGAAAAUUUAACUAUUAUAUAUUCCAUAUGAGAACUAGAUAGCAGGAUCCAGAAUACCCAGAAUUACAUCCCCGAAUAUCAGCAUCCAAAAAGUUAAAAUCUACAAAAAAAAAAGUCUAUUUGCUGCUAACCAAAACCUAAUAACCCCAAAUUCCAAAGGAAACACUUCCUCCACUUUACCAUCAACCCUUCAACCACAACUUCAAGAGCUAGUAAACUUGGUUACGGCCUUGGUCCCCUCAGAAACGGCGUGCUUAGCAAGCUCACCAGGGAGCACAAGUCUCACAGCAGUCUGAAUCUCCCUGGAAGUGAUGGUGGGCUUCUUGUUGUACCUAGCAAGCCUGGAAGCCUCCUGAGCCAGUUUCUCAAAAAUAUCGUUGAUGAAACUGUUCAUGAUUCCCAUGGCCUUGCUGGAAAUUCCGAUGUCCGGAUGGACUUGUUUCAGCACCUUGAAGAUGUAGAUCUUGUAGGUCUCCACGCUCUUUUUCGCCUUCUUCUUCUUCUUAUCGCCUGCUGCAGCGCCGGCUUCCUUGGGGAGCUUCUUCCCGGCCUUUGGCUUCUUCUCCGCAGGAGCUUUCUCGGCGACGGCGGACUUCUUCUCCUCUGCCGGCUUCUUCUCGGCGGGCUUCUUUUCUGCCUUGGGUGCCAUUAGGAUGUAGAGAUUUGCAAAGAGAAAAAAGGCGGGAUAGAUUUUAUUUGAGACGAGGAUUCCAGUGAGAAAUCUGAAAUUUUUGGAUAAUGGCUCUAGGAGAAGAGGUGUUUAUAUGGGUUGUUUUGGUGGAAGCUGAUUGGUUAAUGGUGGAAGCACCUGGAUCGAUGAGCUGGCGAUUUAUUAGGUGUUGGAUUUAAAUGGUUGGUGGAAGUGAGAUAAUGGACGGUUGAGAUAUAAGUUUUGUGAAAAAUAAUGGGCUGUGGGAAAUAUGGCUUUGGCGCCUUUGGUUUUUGUGUUGUUUAUUUGAGUUCUUAAACAAUUGGCGAUCAUCUGGAUUUGGAAGGUUUGUAAGGUUAACGAGGUAAUUUUGGGAAACCGCCAGAAUGAACAUCUUUUGUUUUUGUGAAAAUUCAAAUUACUGGUGAUCCAAGGAUGGAAAAGUAAGUGGGUUGACUAGGAGUAAUGGCAAGAUUUUAAUAAAAAAAUGUAAUUGCAAAAAAUAUGUGGCUUCACCAGUACGGAUCCCACUCGAGUGAGGAAUGAAGGGUCCAUAAGCCUCACUUUCAAUCUUUUGAAAAUGGUACCAUAAUGAAAUUUCGAAAUAUAGAACAAGGCCAUUUAUGAGAACGGGGAAAAAAAUAUGGUAUGUCUUCACCUAUUAAAAAAAAGAUUAAUCUUUAUAUACUGAUAAUAUAUAUACUUUCACCAUUAUAUACAUAAUACAUAAUUCGAAUUUAAAUUUGAAACUCAAAAUUUGUACAUGUGUCGUAUAUCUAACAGUGAUAAUGUAUACACUGUCAGUAUGUAUAAGUUUUACUCUUUAAAAAAAUAAAAAUGUAAGAACCCUCACUUAAGAAUAUAAAUUCUCCUAAAUUACUUGCACUGCCCUAAGACUAAAUAAAUUGUAAUCUUUCCUUGUAUUGCAUUGCAUUGUCUUUCUAUAUGAAUUGUAACAUCUCCUUGAAUUGGUAUUAUUUUAUUUCAUUAUAUGCACGAGGACCAAAUAUCCUUUUAAUUGUGUUUGAGACCUUAUGUGAAAGUUUAAGGGUGCUAAUUAGACAUUUGAAAAACUUUGAGGGUAGAAACAUUAUUUGGCAAAGUUUAAGGGAAUGAAUGACCAAGAUUGAGCCAAAUGUCAAUGCCCCAACCACUCAACCCAAUUGACCAAGAAUAGUAGUAAAAUUUAAACCUUUUGACUCCAUUUUUCUCCUUAGCUUGGCCCACUCUCUUAAGCUCCAAAGAGAGAAGAUAAAACUCCAUUUUCUUGCUUGAAACUCUAGCUUAGACUUUGAGAAAAAACCAAAAGAGAAAGAACCUUAGUUAGUUGAGUAAAUUAUUUUCAAGGUUUGUUUGUGAUUCAAACUUGGAACUCUGGCUUUGGUGGACUUUUGGUGGUUCAAACUUCAUUUAAGAAAGGUGAAUGAUCCUUAAACCUUAGUUUUAUUGUUUAAUAUCAAGUGUUUAAGGUAUUGAUGACAAAUUAGAAGUUGAGUUAAUGUUGUUUGUGGUUAAACUCCUUGAGCUAAGUAAGUGGAAGUAAGGUUGGAUGUAUGGCAUGCCAUGUAUUUGAUUCUUUGCCUAAACUUUGUUUGUAGUUUUUCUUGAUGUAUUAGCAUGUUAUGAACUCUCUUAAAGGUAGAAAUAACUCUUAGAACGUUGUUUAAAUUAAAAAUAAUGGAAGGAUGGAGGUUGGUGUUGACUGUGAAUUUCGAAACUGUUUUCUUUUUUUCUUGCUAGCCAACCAUAGAUUAGAGGUUUUUCCUUGAUCUUUGUGACUUAUUGAACUUUACUUAAGUUUAAGAAAUUUGCCUAAUAUUGGUUUAACCUUAUGUGUGAGUUAAGGUGAAAUGGAGCAAGUAAAUUGGUUGUUUGGCAAGGUAGCAAACUGUUUUGUUAUUCCUUGUUGGCUGGACUACCUUGAUUCAUUUUAGUAUCUUGUAUAUUGAAUUUUCAGCUUAACUAGUGCUAUAUAACUUGACCCCUAUAUAUUAAUUUUAGGAGAUUGAAUUGGAUGAAUUUGAAUCAAAAUGAAUAAGGUUAAGAAGGAGGAUUAGGGUGAUUUUUGUCAAAGUCCUAAGCUAAUCAGAACAGGAAAAUCAGUCAACUUCCCCGAACUUCUGGUAUUGAUAGGAGAGGAACUAGAGUUUGCAUUUUAUACCAUUAGAAAACUCUUCGAGUCUAGUUUCCAACGCCACCAACGGCACGCGAUUCCGACUUGUCUACAGUGAGAUAUGAUCAUUUUUUCGAAACUGUGCGUGUGCGAUUGUUUUACCGCGAAGGCCCUUUUGAACUUGAAUGAGAUUUUUCUUUUGCUCAAUUUUCUUGCACUUAUCAAACUCAUUUUCUUAUGAUCUUUUUCUACAUUUUUUGUCUAACUUGCAUAGUAAAUUAAGUUGAUUAACAAUCCAUUUGGUCACCUAAUGAAACUUACAUUUGGGUUGGUAAAUAAAUCUAAAAUAUUAAUGACUUUUACUCGUUGCCUAGGAUUGAAAAACGAAAGUGAGGGUAAUCACGAGACUUGACGGACAAACUCUGAAUUUCUUAACAGGUGAGCGUUCUACUGCCUCUUACCUGUCUAUGUGAGAUAUCUGAAUACUUGGUCUGUAAUUGUUUGAUCUAAACAUUUUAUUUGACAAACUCGAGGUGAACGUGUAUUUUAUCACACUUGACCUCCGUCGAUUCUACUGAAACUCUGUAUACUGAUAAUUUAAGAUGUGAUUUCUCUAUAUUUGACUAUACAUCAUUUGGGAGAUUUCCCAUUGACCACUGUGACUGUUUAGGUACCCAAUCUCGUAGGUGAAUCGGUUGUAUCAAGCCAACAAGGGUUUGGUCGAGAAGACCGAUGAACCUUGGGAACUAUUUACUGAAAUUCAAAAAUUUGUAUACUCGAGUAUUACCUAAUUAUAUUGUUUGAAGUGUUCGGAUCCGGUAAGGGAGUUAACUGGUGUACGAAAUUUGGAGAAAGUGGUGUUCUACGGACAUUAUAUUAUUUAAAUGCAAACGUUGACGGAGAGUCAACAGAUUCUCGAUACGAUCAAGUUUAAGUGGAUUUGGCUUUUAUAAACUACCCGUAUUCUUAAAUUGAAUUGUGAUUAAAUUGUUCCAGAAUUACACGGUGUUUACUUGUUUAUAUUACGCCUCUAACUGGGUAUGUGCCUACAUGUUUAUUUGGGAUCUCACUGAAUUUUAGUUCACCUCACUCCCUUUUGUUUUCUUUAACAGGUAUGUGAUGGGACUGCUAUCAGGAACUUGCAUAAUUUUAAAUCUUAUCUUGAACUUGUACUUUGGGUUGUAAUUCUUUUGUUUAUAAGAUUUUAUCUUUGACUCUUGUAAGUUUGAAGUUGUAAGUUGGGCACUUAUUAUGUAAAUUAAGUUUGACAUUUAACUUUAUAUUAUAAACUAGUUUUGUACACGUUCGUUGAACGGGAAUUUUCAAAAAAUAAUAAACUAUUUAGUAAAUUUUAUAAAAAUAUCGAUAUGAAAUACAAACUUAAUGUAUAUUUUAUUACAACAUUUCUUAAGUAUAUUACUAUAUGCGCAUUGUAAUAUAAAUUUGAACAUCUAAUUCAGUAAAUAAUAAUUUAAAAAUGGAAAAAAUAACAUUCGGCAAUAUCAUAAUAUUUAAAAACUUGAAAAUAAAUAAAAAGUAUAGUAAAUAGUAUCAAAUAAUAUUAUACUCUUCAGAAACUUGUUUUUGUUUUUUCUUCUAUUUGAAUAUUCUCUUUGAUUUGUCUGUGCAAAUCAGCAUUUAUUGAUUUUCCAUUAUCACUGCAUGAUAGCAAAGCAGGAUAACUAAGUAUAAAAAAAUAAAUGAUUUAUCGCAUUUAAGGUUGCGUAUAACAAUACGUAAAGAUUAUAAUUUUAAAAAAUAAAAUAGUAUAUUAAAUCUACCUUCUCAUGCAAAUCUUUUUAUGAGGAUUCAUUCCUUUGUGGCUUUUGUUGAACCCUCUGAUGAAUGAUUCAUAUGAAGUGUAUUGAAAUGUUGUUAAUUAGAAUAAUCUAUUAUACUAAUUGGGAUCUGGGAAGAAAAUGUUUCAGGUUGGUAUUGGUUGUCGGUUCCACCAAUCUGAUAAUGAUUUAUCAAAAUUAAAGGCAAAAAUAUUAUGUGAGAUAUAAUAUGUGAAAUAUAAGAGAAAUUUAUUACUAAUUCAAGAUAUAUUACUAAUCCUAUGUGUUCAUAAAAAAAAUAGAAAAAAAAAUUCAAGAUAUGUUACUAAACUUUUACAAUUGAAGAUCAACAUACCUUUUUUAAAAAAAUAUGUAUUAAAAGUAGAUAUACUUGAUAAUCAAGAGGAGUGAAAAUCCAAAAUCGAUAAUUUAAUGUGCCAACCGUUUGCACUGAAAAUACUUAACCAUGAAUUUGAUGCUUGAAAUCAAUAUAUUAGAGACUAUAUGUAGUGUAGGCAUAAGAAAUAAGAAUUGAUAAGAAUAUAAAGAGAUAUUGAAAAGAACAUUAAAAGUAAGUUUAUCUUAAUUUAAGUUGUUUAAGGUACGUAACUUUAGGUAGGAAAUAAGAAUCCUAUAAUAUUAAGAAUUCUUAUAUGAAAUAAAAGUGAGUUCUCAAGAUAGAUUUUACCUAUCUUGAAAGACCACCUCAACUAUAUCGAGUCUUUUAAGUGCAUUGACUUCUAUAGUGUGGGUCCACACACUAAAUACUCCCCACCAUUUGGGCAGAGAUGUAUUGUGAAUCUUAUAACCAACAUGUUUUGAUUAACAACGAACGGGUUUAUAGGAAUUUACAAACCCGUGCUCAAAUUGGAAUUUAUAUUUGACCGUACGCGUCAAAUACAUAGAGUUAAUUGGAUUCAAUUAACUUUUUCUUUUCCAUAAAUUUCGUGCUAUGUACUAUGUCUUGAUAACGCACUUAAUAAUAAAAUUUAUUAAGAAUCCUAUUUCCAACAUCAGAUAUUGACUUCUAUUAUUAAUUGUUCCUUUUGAAAUUAGUUACUUUUCUACUUCUUGUAGUGAUAACAAUUCUCAUUUACUUCGGUUCCUAUGUAGUACACAAAUUAUUGGCAUGAAUUUGGAUAUAUAUCUAAUAGAGAUAUUUAUGUCUCUUUUAUUUAUAUCGCAUUACUUUCCAGUUUCUUUUUUGGGUAGGAAAUAAGAAUCAUAUAAUAUUAAGAAAUCUUAUAGGAAAUAAGAAUUGAUAUAUAUUUAAACAAAAAAGGAGCAAGCCACGUAGGAAAUUACUUGUCGUCUCAUUAAGCCACGUAGGAAAGAGAAAACAUGAAAGGAUAAGAAUGAAAAUACGACUUUAUUAUAUAUAUAUAUAUGAUUUGGGAAGUUGAUGUGACGAUUAUAUUUCUAUUAUAGUUUGUAACCUUUACUUCGAAGAUAUUUAGUUAAUUUUAUUGGGUUGCUGGUUCAUUAGUUGACUGAACCCCGACGAGAGUUGGGCAGACAGCUCGCUAAUCCUCAGGGUUCGUCUUGAGAUAAUGUGGGAUUGUCACAAAAAAUAUGUACGUCCUUCUAUACUACAGCAUAUGAAAUUAUAGGUAAUGUUUUAAAACUUUUACUAACCGUGUAGAUGGUAGCAUUUUAUUGACAUGGGUAUAAAAUGCUUAUAAUUAAAAGGGUUUGUUUAUUUGGUGCUGUCAGGGCACCAAAUAAGAAGUGGAUUUAAUAUUAUACUUAAAAAAAAAAUUGAGUUGGUGAAAAGCUUUUCUUAUUCUUAUUACUCGCUUACUCUCCACUAGCACCGGGUUUUAUAUGAUUGGUGAAUCUUUUGUUGUCGAUAUAUUCGUGUUACCAAAAGGACUAACCGCAAUUGCGAUUCGGGUUUUGAAUUGCUUCCGUUUGGCAGGUAAGAUUGCCUUUUUCCGAGCUAUCAAGUUUUUGUGCGAUUUGGAUUCGUCUAAUGUGAUUGAUUGGUGCAUUUGGCAAUACAUAUAAACUGGUUUGGAAAAUUUACGAACAAAACAUGGACUGCUAUUACAUAAAGCUGCAAGUUGAUCAAAUUAUUCGACUCAAAUUCAUGAGUAACUUGGUUAAUGAUUAGAUUUGAAUUCGAUAUUUACUGAGUUUGAGUCGAAUUCGAACUACUUAAUAAUACGUACAAGUCGAUUUUGAUCACUAUAUUCCUUAGCUCGUAAGCUCGGCGAGCUUAAUUGAAUUUUUAGUAUACUUGUAAAAGUGUAUACUUCUAAAAGUAUACAAGUUGACCAUGUAGUAUACUGGAUCGUGGUUGAAGUUGCCUUGUGGCCAGUCGCUAUCUUUAACUGAUCAUUGCAGUCUAUUGGCCUUGAACUCGUGUAAAUUGGAUCAUUAUGAGUGCACUGGACAAUUUGAUUAAUGAAAAGUUGCUGCCUUUGUUACUUGACUGCUACCUUUACUUGGUAUAUGAAAGACACUCUGUGCCAAUUUAGCUUAUAACGAGUGAAUCUGAACAUCAUGUAUUGUUUCCGAAAAAGAGAGAAGAAAAAAAUAAUUAUAAUAAUGUGCCGUGUCACUAGACCUCCGCUUACCACGGGGAUGAUCAAAAUUGAAGCCGAAAUGGAGAAUAAGAGAAAACAAAGGGAAAAUUACACUUUAUCCUCAUGUAGUUUGGUAUUUUUUUAUAUGAUCCCCUGUGAUUUCAAAAGUUAAACAUAACUUUUUCAUGAUUUGGAUUAAAGUGUCAAAAUGACGGAAUUUGCAAUUCAUAUUGGAAUCAACUAAAAUAACAAAAAUACCCCUAUAUAAAGUUGAAAAUUAAUUAUGAACCACAAGAGGAUUAUGUAUACAUAUAUUAAAAAUCAUAAAGGAGUUAUAUGAUAAAAUAUAAAGUCAUAUGCAUAUUAUGUUUAUAUAUUUUGGUUAUUUCAACUAUUUUAGUUUUUAAGCAAAGGUAAUUUCGACAUUUUUAUAGGUUCUAUUACGAAUAAUCAUUGUCGUCAUUUUGAUAUUUUAAUUCAAAUUAUAAAGAAAUUAUAUAUAACUUUUAAAACUAUAGAGGGAUUAUGUAAAAAUUAGCUAUGCCACAAAGGGGUAAAGUGUAAUUUGCCCGAAAACAAAUACCAAUGCCUGAAAUUCUAGACUUAAAUUACACAAAUUAAAUCAACAUUUCCCCCUCGUUAUUUCCAGUCAUUUUUUUAUAUAUUGUUAAUGAUUUACCAAGCGACGUUAUUUUGACAUGUCAAAAUCACGAGUCCUCUAUUUUUGUCAAUUUCUUGCAGAUCUCGGUCUCCUACGCGAACGCAUCAACUCGCAUUAAAAAGAAUAAGCUAUGUUUUGCCUGCGCCUAGUGUAGCUGUACUGUUUCGAUCCUAAGAAUAAAAGUUUAAACAACGGAAAGCCAAAUAAAAUGAAACUAAAAUUAAAAAUAAAAAAAACAUACAUACACACGCUCUGCCAGAUGCACAAUUAUGGGAGCAAUAUUUAUGACCGACUCAAUCGGGCAACUACUGCCUAAAAAUUAUGUUGAAAUUGAAUACGUAAUAUAAUUAUAAAUACACAACCAAGGCAAGUCAAUCAACAGUACUUAAGAGAAAAGAAAAACAAAUAUCAACUGCCCCUUGAAUUUUCUGUGUCCAAAAUGCAUCUAAAUUUGAGAGACAUCAGAGAUAUAGGAAUAGAAAAUAUCAUAAUUCUAACAAAGAUAUUUGUUUACUACUGAAGCUUGAGCUACAUCUGUAAUAGAUGCAUUGCCAAAGGAUCCGUGGUUGCCCAAAAAACCUAGUAAGGUUGGAGCGAGCAUCACAACUUCCGUGUUCACUUGCGCCAUAUAACCGGAUCAUGCUCGACCCUUCUCCUCCUCCCGCUUGCCAUACGACUUCAGCGACCACCAGGUGCUGAAUCGUCCCAGACGGAGCCCAUCAUGUUAGUGAAACUGAAACUGAAGCUGAAACCUCCACUGGCCCAGCAGCAGCCAGUGGAGGAGGAACUGGAACUGGAACUGGGGGAGGAGAUCCUCUGGCAUCUAGCCAGAGAGAUGACUUGUUAAGGGGGUUCAUUAACUUUAAAGGAAUGGUUGCUAUUAAAAUUUGGUGGGGAAGGAUCUUCCAAGCAUAUCCUUUCAAGCAUUAACUUGGCUUGCUACUGUGCUAUAUUUUAUUGGUCCCUUUUGGUAUUUUUAUGCCGUGUCAUUAUUAUUGAAAGUGAAAAUCUCAUCAAAGC
RNAcentral lists this long non-coding RNA (24718 nucleotides) under Coffea arabica (coffee). Its description in RNAcentral is "long non-coding RNA (CARA_LNC000745)". Lineage: Eukaryota; Viridiplantae; Streptophyta; Magnoliopsida; Gentianales; Rubiaceae. The record is from RNAcentral.